UGCGUAGGCGGCCCGGGAAGUUGGGUGUGAAAUCCCUCGGCUUAACCGAGGAAUUGCGCUCAAAACUGCCGGGCUUGAGGGAGACAGAGGUGAGCGGAACUUAGGGUGGAGCGGUGAAAUGCGUUGAUAUCCUAAGGAACACCGGGGGCGAAAGCGGCUCACUGGGUCUCUUCUGACGCUGAGGCACGAAAGCUAGGGGAGCGAACGGGAUUAGAUACCCCGGUAGUCCUAGCCCUAAACGAUGAGCACUAGAUCGGAGAACAUCCCAUAGUUUUCUGGUCGUAGCAAAAGCGUUAAGUGCUCCGCCUGGGGAGUAUGGUCGCAAGGCUGAA
RNAcentral lists this ribosomal RNA (332 nucleotides) under uncultured bacterium. RNAcentral describes it as "bacterial SSU rRNA". It matches the Rfam family "Bacterial small subunit ribosomal RNA", at positions 568 to 898 of the family's 1533-position model. The record is from RNAcentral.